GACGAACGCUGGCGGCGUGCUUAACACAUGCAAGUCGAACGGAAAGGCCCUGCUUUUGUGGGGUGCUCGAGUGGCGAACGGGUGAGUAACACGUGAGUAACCUGCCCUUGACUUUGGGAUAACUUCAGGAAACUGGGGCUAAUACCGGAUAGGAGCUCCUGCUGCAUGGUGGGGGUUGGAAAGUUUCGGCGGUUGGGGAUGGACUCCCGGCUUAUCAGCUUGUUGGUGGGGUAGUGGCUUACCAAGGCAUUGACGGGUAGCCGGCCUGAGAGGGUGACCGGCCACAUUGGGACUGAGAUACGGACCAGACUCCUACGGGAGGCAGCAGUGGGGAAUAUUGCACAAUGGGCGGAAGCCUGAUGCAGCAACGCCGCGUGCGGGAUGACGGCCUUCGUGUUAGAAACCGCUUUCGCCUGUGACGAAGCGUGAGUGACGGUAAUGGGUAAAGAAGCACCGGCUAACUACGUG
This 468-nucleotide ribosomal RNA is filed under the name uncultured bacterium. RNAcentral's name for it is "partial 16S ribosomal RNA". It matches the Rfam family "Bacterial small subunit ribosomal RNA", at positions 28 to 507 of the family's 1533-position model. The record is from RNAcentral.